UUGUGGAGAAGGACGCCGAAGGUGGGGCUGAUGACUGGGGUGAAGUCGUAACAAGGUAGCCGUACCGGAAGGUGCGGCUGGAUCACCUCCUAACAGGGAGACAAUAAAUUGAUUGUGAUGUCUAAGUUAUUUAUUCUUAGGCCGCAAUCCUGUCACCUUAAGGUCGAUCGGUACCUCUGAUUUUUGAAUUAGUUUUACAAUUGAUUCUUUGAUUUCAGUUCCUAAACUUGUCUAGGUCACACCCAACAAAGGUUUCUCCUGGGCCAUUAGCUCAGGUGGUUAGAGCGCACCCCUGAUAAGGGUGAGGUCCCUGGUUCAAGUCCAGGAUGGCCCAUUCGUUGUUGGGGGUAUAGCUCAGUUGGUAGAGCGCCUGCUUUGCAAGCAGGAUGUCAGCGGUUCGAGUCCGCUUACCUCCACUGAAAACUAUCCUGAUAACUAAAUUUCUGGAGAAAAAAAUUGUAGAUGUGACUUAGAAUUGUCUAUUUGAAAAGAACCUAGCUUCUUGUCAUCUUUUUAUAGUUGAUAAAAUGCUGGGCUCGCAUGGAUUAUUUCCAUGAGAAUUCAGUAGAACCUUGAAAACUGCAUAGAUUAGAAAGAAUAAAGCAUCUCAUGGAUGCAUAGUUCUGUUUUUAUAAUUUAGCCUUAAAACUAAAUUAUUGAAUUCUAGAAUUCAUGUUUAAUUCUUGAGUAAUAGCCGAGCACAAUUGAUUUUGUGAUUGUAUUAAAGGUCAAGCUACAA
RNAcentral lists this unclassified non-coding RNA (739 nucleotides) under uncultured Prochlorococcus sp. RNAcentral's name for it is "partial 16S-23S ribosomal RNA intergenic spacer; may also contain 16S ribosomal RNA and 23S ribosomal RNA". The stretch from base 344 to 416 matches the Rfam family "tRNA". The record is from RNAcentral. Lineage: Bacteria; Bacillati; Cyanobacteriota; Cyanophyceae; Synechococcales; Prochlorococcaceae.